AACGGCCGUACCAUGCUGAAUAUACCGGUUCUCGUUAGAUCACCGAAGUCAAGCAUCAUUGGGCGUGGUCAGUACUUGGGAGGGUGACCACCUGGGAACACCGCAUGCCGUU
This 112-nucleotide ribosomal RNA is filed under the name Caerostris darwini. Lineage: Eukaryota; Metazoa; Arthropoda; Arachnida; Araneae; Araneidae. The record is from RNAcentral.